RNAcentral lists this ribosomal RNA (305 nucleotides) under uncultured bacterium. RNAcentral describes it as "bacterial SSU rRNA". It matches the Rfam family "Bacterial small subunit ribosomal RNA", at positions 28 to 333 of the family's 1533-position model. The record is from RNAcentral.
GACGAACGCUGGCGGCACGCCUAACACAUGCAAGUCGAACGCGCUUUGCUCCUUCGGGAGCAAAGUGAGUGGCGAACGGGUGAGUAACACGUGAGCAACCUGCCCUUGACUCUGGAAUAACAGCUGGAAACAGCUGCUAAUACCGGAUACGACCUCCGAUGGCAUCAUCUGGAGGUGGAAAGCUCCGACGGUCAAGGAUGGGCUCGCGGCCUAUCAGCUUGUUGGUGAGGUAACGGCUCACCAAGGCUUCGACGGGUAGCCGGCUGAGAGGGCGACCGGCCACACUGGGACUGAGAUACGGCCCA